AUGAGAGAGAAUAUGUGGAGUUUACAGGGUCACACCGACAGACGAAAUUACUGACAUUCGGUGAAUUCAUUGGAGCUGGGCAGUGAGGGACAUUGACAGUGAUGGGAUCUACGAUCAGUGAAUUACUGAAGGGUUUAAUGUUCCCUGAAAUAUCCGGGUGAGAGAAAUGCCCUCAGACGGACGAUUUUAAUCACAAUGUUCAUCAAUUUGUCUGUUUCUGUUUAGACUGAGUUAUAAUGAACUGGGAGAUUCAGGAGUGAAACUGGUGUCUGCGGCUCUGAGGAACCCGGAGUGUAAAAUACAGAGACUGUGGCUGAUCCGUGUCGGUCUCACAGAUUCUGGUGCCGAGGAUCUUGUCUCCGCUCUCAGUACAAACCCAUCACUGACGGGGCUGAACCUGGGAUCAAACUCUCUGACAGACCGAUCUGUCCCCGCUCUCCGCCGCCUCAUACUGACCCUCCCGAGUCUGGAGCGGAUCUGGUGAGUGUUUGUGUUAAUGUUCAAUGUGAUAAAAUAUCAGCGGAUCCGCGGGUUUUCUGGUGAUAUUUGUCUGUGAGUGUUGUUGAAACAUUAACGCCGGUCCCCUGUUACUGACACUGUUGUGUGAUCUGUUUAUUUCAUCUUUAUUCUCCCAUCUGUUUCAGGCUGGCGGGGAAUCGGUUCAGUGAGACCGGGAGGAAGGAACUGAGAUCUCUACAGGAACCCAGACCCGGACUGAUGGUGGUUCUGUGAACAUCUGAAUGUGGGGAAUCGGUUCAGUGAGACCGGGAUGAAGGAACUGAGAUCUCUACAGGAACCCAGACCCGGACUGAUGGUGGAUCUGUGAACAUCUGAAUGUGGGGAAUCGGUUCAGUGAGACCGGGAUGAAGGAACUGAGAUCUCUACAGGAACCCAGACCCGGACUGAGAGUGUGGAUCUGAACAUCUGAAUGUGGGGAAUCGGUUCAGUGAGACCGGGAUGAAGGAACUGAGAUCUCUACAGGAACCCAGACCCGGACUGAUGGUGGAUCUGUGGACAUUUGGCCUUUAACCUUGAUCUUACCUGGAACCCAGACCCGGACUGAUGGUGGAUCUGAAUGUGUGAACAUCCCCGCCCGCGGGAUGGGGACAUUUGGCCGACUCCCCGCCCUCCCCUUUAACUCCCGCCCUUACCUUUAACGGCCGCGCGCCGGGGCUGAUUCCCAACGGUUUUAACGGAACCGGCUCGGGCCUCGCGCUGUGUGCGUCGCUCGCAGCGGUCCCGCAGUGACGUGUUUCCGCCUGUUGUCCGGCGGGGCAGCUUCCGCCGGAAGUGCGUGUUGGAGACUCCCCACGUGACUCCCCGGGGAAUUACCCGGACAGGAAGAGCCCGGGGUCCUGGGCUCAGUCUGGGACACCGGUGUCCCGGGGUGGGGGGAUGGUCCCGGGAGAGAAUCCUUUUGCCCCCUUUGCUGAGGACGGUGCAUUCGGCAGCCUGGCCGAUAUAAUGAUGUUAAAUGGACAAAUCCCUCGGCAGUGACCCUGGAUCUGCAGCGAUCCCGGUCACGGCCCUGAAGUGUGAUUUUAUAAUCAGUUUUAUAAUUUUAUAAUCAGUUCCCCGAUGCAGAGUGACGGUGAGAAACGGGACUGAUUAUUCAACCGGUCACUCCUUGUCGCCGGUCAGUUAAUUGUGUGUGACUGUGAGCAGAUCAUUUAUUCCUGCACCUUAGCAGCUCACACAUUGUUUCAUUGAUAUUUCUCAUAAAAAAUCAAUAAACCACUAUCUUCCUG
Molecule: long non-coding RNA, 1748 nt
Organism: Hypanus sabinus (Atlantic stingray)
Lineage: Eukaryota; Metazoa; Chordata; Chondrichthyes; Myliobatiformes; Dasyatidae
Exons: 2
Source: RefSeq, a predicted model, not a curated record